Molecule: non-coding RNA, 542 nt
Organism: Saimiri boliviensis boliviensis (Bolivian squirrel monkey)
Lineage: Eukaryota; Metazoa; Chordata; Mammalia; Primates; Cebidae
Source: RefSeq, a predicted model, not a curated record
GUAAGUGGAAAAAUUGAGACAAAACUGUUAAGUAAUGUGGCUUUCAUAGUACCUUAAAAAAAAAAUGAGGACUCUAAGGUGAAGGAAUUCACUUCUCUGAAUUAGGAGGAAAAAUAAAUAAGUUUAUACUUAGCAAAAAUACAAAAUACAGCCCAGAUAAAAAGCAAAUCGCCUUUAGAUAACUACGGAAUCAAAAGUGUUAAUAGUUGUUUCCAAAUUCUGUGACUUAUUGAUUCUUAGUCUACCUCAUUUGGUAGGACAUCUCAGCAAUGCAUUUGUGGGCAUUUAUCUCCACAUUCCUCCUGAAUGAAGGCCAGAGGCAAAUGAGAGGAAUCAGAAAGCAGGAGAAAACAUAAAAUGGAAGAUUGAAGCCUAAACACAAGAAAAGAGAACAGUGUAUGAGAGAACACAGAGACAGUGCUGUGGACAUACAUCAGAAUUGGGAUGGUCCCAGUUCUGCCCUUUGAAGAUGACAGUAUCAAUUCCUGGAAGAAAGGGAGGAGUCAUGCGUGUAGAUGAGCAAAGUUCCAUUUUAGGACAAC